AUUGAACGCUGGCGGCAGGCCUAACACAUGCAAGUCGAGCGAGAGGCGGACGGGUGAGUAAUGUAUGGGGACUGCCCGAUAGAGGGGGAUAACUACUGGAAACGGUGGCUAAUACCGCAUCCUCUAGUAUAACCCAUCUGUGAUUAGCUCGUAGGUGGGGUAACGGCUCACCUAGGAGACGAUCUCUAGCUGGUCGGCAAGGAUGAUCAGCCACACGGUGACGGAGACACGGCCCAGACUCCUACGGAGGCAGCAGUGGGGAAUAUUGCACAAGGGGCGCAAGCCUGAUGCAGCCAUGCCGCGUGUAUGAAGAAGUCCUUAGGGUUGUAAAGUACUUUCAGCGGGGAGGCGUUACCCGCAGAAGAAGCACCGGCUAACUACGUGCCAGCAGCCGCGGUAAUUC
Molecule: ribosomal RNA, 403 nt
Filed under: uncultured bacterium
Lineage: Bacteria
Description: partial 16S ribosomal RNA
Rfam family: Bacterial small subunit ribosomal RNA
Source: RNAcentral